Molecule: ribosomal RNA, 253 nt
Filed under: uncultured bacterium
Lineage: Bacteria
Description: partial 16S ribosomal RNA
Rfam family: Bacterial small subunit ribosomal RNA
Source: RNAcentral
UACGUAGGGUGCGAGCGUUGUCCGGAAUUAUUGGGCGUAAAGAGCUCGUAGGCGGUUUGUUGCGUCGGCCGUGAAAACCUGCAGCUUAACUGUGGGCCUGCGGCCGAUACGGGCAGACUUGAGUUCGGUAGGGGAGACUGGAAUUCCUGGUGUAGCGGUGAAAUGCGCAGAUAUCAGGAGGAACACCCGUGGCGAAAGCGGCUCUCUGGAACGGUACUGACGCUGAGACGCGAAAGCGUGGGGAGCGAACAGG